UACGUAGGGGGCAAGCGUUGUCCGGAAUUAUUGGGCGUAAGAGCUCGUAGGCGGUCCAUUAAGUCGGAAGUGAAAUCUCAGGGCUCAACCCUGAAAUUGCUUUCGAUACUGGUGGACUUGAGGCAGGUAGGGGAAGGUGGAAUUCCUGGUGUAGCGGUGAAAUGCGCAGAUAUCAGGAGGAACACCAGUGGCGAAGGCGGCCUUCUGGGCCUGUUCUGACGCUGAGGCGCGAAAGCCAGGGGAGCAAACGGG
Molecule: ribosomal RNA, 252 nt
Filed under: uncultured bacterium
Lineage: Bacteria
Description: partial 16S ribosomal RNA
Rfam family: Bacterial small subunit ribosomal RNA
Source: RNAcentral